GAUGAACGCUGGCGGCGUGCUUACACAUGCAAGUCGAACGGGAAAUACUUUAUUGAAACUUCGGUCGAUUUAAUUUAUUUCUAGUGGCGGACGGGUGAGUAACGCGUGGGUAACCUGCCUUAUACUGGGGGAUAACAGCCAGAAAUGACUGCUAAUACCGCAUAAGCGCACAGGACCGCAUGGUUCCGUGUGAAAAACUCCGGUGGUAUAAGAUGGACCCGCGUUGGAUUAGUUAGUUGGCAGGGCAGCGGCCUACCAAGGCGACGAUCCAUAGCCGGCCUGAGAGGGUGAACGGCCACAUUGGGACUGAGACACGGCCCAGACUCCUACGGGAGGCAGCAGUGGGGAAUAUUGCACAAUGGGGGAAACCCUGAUGCAGCGACGCCGCGUGAAGGAAGAAGUAUCUCGGUAUGUAAACUUCUAUCAGCAGGGAAGAUAAUGACGGUACCUGACUAAGAAGCCCCGGCUAGCUACGUGCCAGCAGCCGCGGUAAUACGUAGGGGGCAAGCGUUAUCCGGAUUUACUGGGUGUAAAGGGAGCGUAGACGGCGCAGCAAGUCUGAUGUGAAAGGCAGGGGCUUAACCCCUGGACUGCAUUGGAAACUGCUGUGCUUGAGUGCCGGAGGGGUAAGCGGAAUUCCUAGUGUAGCGGUGAAAUGCGUAGAUAUUAGGAGGAACACCAGUGGCGAAGGCGGCUUACUGGACGGUAACUGACGUUGAGGCUCGAAAGCGUGGGGAGCAA
Molecule: ribosomal RNA, 741 nt
Filed under: uncultured Lachnospiraceae bacterium
Lineage: Bacteria; Bacillati; Bacillota; Clostridia; Lachnospirales; Lachnospiraceae
Description: bacterial SSU rRNA
Rfam family: Bacterial small subunit ribosomal RNA
Source: RNAcentral